UUCUGGGGACAUUUGGAGUCUCAGUGCCUAAGACCUUCAAAGCUGGGUAUUGUGUCAAGUUCUAUUUUUCUUUCCUUCACUUCUGGUGUUACUGGUCACCACUUCAGUGAAGAUGUUCCUGAAUGUGGUUAGCAUGUGAUUCAGAAGACUAAGCAAAUAUGCCCUCCCUAUGUGGGCAUUUUAGACCUUGAGUAUUUAAACCAGCACCUUGAAUGUGGAGUAACCAAGUAUCCAGUGCACACAGAUGCCAGCAUUCCUAACUUGCCUGAAUGAAUUUCCUCAGAUUAUCCCCAACAUCAUGAAGACACCCACGCCUGUAAUAAUGAAAUCACACAUAAACGUGGCUCUCAGCCUCUGGAAGAACAAGGACCCACAGUUCCCUGGAGUUGCAUGGUGGCCUUUGGAAGUACAGGGCCUGGAGUAGUGUCUUUGGGGAUUUCAGCAGCAACUUCAACUCUUGCACCACGUGGUAUUUCCACAAGAAUCCAUGAAAUGACAGAAAAUACAGCAGAACU
Talpa occidentalis (Iberian mole) is the source of this 515-nucleotide long non-coding RNA. RefSeq lists it as uncharacterized. The transcript has 3 exons. Lineage: Eukaryota; Metazoa; Chordata; Mammalia; Eulipotyphla; Talpidae. The record is from RefSeq and is a predicted model, not a curated record.